RNAcentral lists this non-coding RNA (24 nucleotides) under Arabidopsis thaliana (thale cress). Lineage: Eukaryota; Viridiplantae; Streptophyta; Magnoliopsida; Brassicales; Brassicaceae. The record is from RNAcentral.
AGUGUCUCAAAUUAUAAAGAUACC